UCACUUGCGAAGAGGGGAAUGAAUGGCAGCUUAAAGCUAUCUUAGCUACUUUUAACGGAGCUCUGUUCAUAUGGCAGACGUUUUAUUAAGCUUGUCGCAAGGGAAGAAAAUGAAGAGUUCAAAUUCUGCUGUGAUAUACUCAAAGAUAGCUGCUCCCGCGCUUUUGUUCCGAAGUAGCUAGCUUAGCUAACGUGGACAAACAUGGCUGCCAAUUAUUUAGCCCUAAAAUAACCUGCCAGCACCUAACGUUACAGUGGAGGUCACAGAAGAGGGACUUUCCAUCUCUUGUUGAAGUACUGGACCGUUUUUCCUGAGAUGAAUGGUGUCCUAAAGGCUCAUCCAGUCAUCAAAGUUUUCCAAGAUGUUCCUGCAGUUUCCCUCACCGCCGUCCAGUCGAUUUAAAGUUUUUCAAUCUGAAGCAUCCCUUUUGCUGCUCAUGCUGAUGUCGGCAGUGGCGCUUCAGGAGUAUGAAUGGAGUGGAAAUGAAGGAGGGAAAGGUGACAGGACGGACGAGGAGAGCAACGGAUUAGAUGAAAACAGAAGGUGUUAUGAGAAGUCUUUCAGGCGAGCUGGAGGCCGAGCUGCUGGGCUGCGACUGCAGAGGAGUGUUGGUCUCGUC
This is a long non-coding RNA of Micropterus salmoides (largemouth bass), 619 nucleotides long. RefSeq lists it as uncharacterized. NCBI's taxonomy places the organism in Eukaryota, Metazoa, Chordata, Actinopteri, Centrarchiformes, Centrarchidae. The transcript is spliced from 4 exons. The record is from RefSeq and is a predicted model, not a curated record.